Molecule: long non-coding RNA, 1809 nt
Organism: Dasypus novemcinctus (nine-banded armadillo)
Lineage: Eukaryota; Metazoa; Chordata; Mammalia; Cingulata; Dasypodidae
Source: Ensembl
AAUCAACAUCUGGUCAAUGUUUCUGGUGAAGACAUACAUCUUCAUAUUUUACCUCCACAAACCACGUACUUUCAGAUCAAGUAUGUGAAAAAGGUAAGUGUCACCGUCCAUUCCACGUUCUAUGGGGUGUUGGUAUUCCAGGUGGUGGGUCUGCCUGGGCCCUGUGGCGUGUUGUCACCCAGAGUCCUGCUGCCUGCGCAUCCAGGGCCUUGGCCUAAUGAGAGCCCGCUUGUCUUCCAGGAGCACCGCCUCGUCCCUGGCUUGUCCCUCCCAGUCACCAUUACAUUUUCUCCAGAUGAGUGGCGUUACUAUUAUGAUUGCGUCCGUGUUCACUGUAAGGUAAGCUUCUUAAAAUGUUUGGGGGAGGGAAAUGAGGGAGUCAAAAUUUAUAUCCUAAAGGGAAAAAGAAAGGGAGAUUGGAUGACAAGAAUGAGGCUUCCCACCCCAGUGCCUGGGUUUUACCUGGCAACCAGUCCAAUGGCAAGGAAGGGGUGUCCAGUGAGGUGGGUCCAGGAAGGGGGUGUGAGGCAGCCGAGAACUGGGGCAGAGCCGGCCUAAAACCUCACUUAUCAGAUGGUGCUGGGAGGCAGUGAAGGCUUUUCAAACAACUUAAGUGCACUUCUUUAAGUGCUAAGUUGAAAAAAAAAAUUUUUUUUAAUAUUUAUUUCUCUUUCCUUCCCCCCCUACCCAGUUGUCUGUUCUCUGUGUCUGUUCGCUGUGUCUUUGCUUCUGUUGUUAUCAGCGGCACGGGAAUCUGUGUUUGUUUUUGUUGGGUCACCUUCCUGUGUCAGCGCUCCAUGUGUGCGGCACCAGUUCUGGGCAGGCUGCACUUUCUUUGGCGCUGGGUGGCUCUCCUUAUGGGGCGCACUCCUUGCAUGUGGGGCUCCUCUAUGCGGGGGACACCCCUGCGUGGCAGGGCACUCCCUGCACACAUCAGCACUGCGCAUGGGCCAGGCACUGCUCAUGGGCCAGCCCCACACAGGUUAAGGAGGCCCGGGGUUUGAACCGUGGACCUCCCAUGUGGUAGAUGGACGCCCUAACUGCUGGGCCAAAUCUGCCACCCUAGGUUGAAAAAUUAAUCCUGAGUUGUGAUGAGAAGCACAGGUAGCUGAACUGGGUCUCAGGUGGAAUGUCCUUAGAGACAGCCCCUGGGGUCUGCUGGGAGCAGGUGUGGCCUGACUCCAGAUGGCUCUGCUGCUUGAACUCUCCUGGGCUUGUCUAGGUCACCUAAUGCAUCCUUGGCCUCCAGCCACAACCAACUCCAUGUCCUGUCCAUCCUUCCCUUAAAACCGUCAACUCUAUACCCUUUUGUUAUAUUUUCUAGGCCCAACCCUUGCAACCUGAGAAGACUUAGGUUAACUAAAGCCCUAAUUUUUCAAAACUAAAACUGAACAAAUGAGUGACAAAUGAGGUUCAAUUAAAAAAAAAAUGACAACCCAAAAAGAAAAUAUUCCUUUCAGGAAUUUUCUGUUCCAAUCAGAAGAAAUUUUUUCUUAGGCAGGUAUUCUGUAGCAUGUGGGGCACCUUUCCUGCUACUCAAAACUGUAAUAAGAAUGAUAUCUCACAAUUGUGUAAUACUUCUAACUUUUCAAGGUAGUCAUCUUUAAUUCUUAAAAACACCUUUGGGGAAAGAUGAAAUUAUCCCCAUUUUGCAGAGGAAGAAACAAGUCUGAGAGAGGGUAAACUUUUCAUUGGGACUAGAAGCAGAUCUCUGCACUUCUCUCUCUCUCUUUUUUUUCCUAUUUUCAGUUCUUUUUUAUUUUUUUUACUAUCUAGUACUGUGCUGAUUUUUCUUUAUCUUAGGCCACU